AACAUAAAUUAUUUCCAAAAAUUUCAUGCAAAAUUACAAAUAUCUUAAAAUUUCAAGAAUUAAAUUUAGUAGAAAAGAAGAUUAAAUGCUACCUUAACCAUCUUCAAGCUUGUUUCUAACAAAUUCCACAAAAAAUCAACCCCCAAAGUAGCUUUCUUCUCAAGAUUGAAAAGAACUUGAAGACAGGUUUAGAGAGAGAGAGAGAUAGAGUCAGCUAGGGAUUUGAAAUACAAAAAAAUAAAUUUUUCUUUUCAUUUAACACUUAUUUAAUAAUGCAUUUUCAAUUCGUACUAAAGAAUGGUCAAAAGACCAUUUUGCCUAGGGACAAAACUUUACAUAAUUCUCAAUUAAGGGCAAUUCAAUCAUUUAACACUCACACGUAUAAUUCAUAAUUCCACAUAUAUUUUAUGUUAUAACAUAAUCACAUAAUAAAAUCAUUUUAGACCCAAAAUUUAGUGCGAACCAGAAUACCCAAUUGUGACUAUACCGUACCAUCUUGUCAGAAUUCACCUGCAGUAAGACAAUAUGAACAUACUAUAUAAUAAUAUAGUCAAUUAGCACAAUAAAUAUCAAAAUUAUAAUUUUACCCUUCUCAGGUCAAAAUUACAAAAAUACCCUUAACUAAUAAAUGACGUCUUAAAUGCAAUAAUUGUCAAAUAAUUUCAUAUAAUUAUUUAUAUUAUAAUGUAAUUACUCAAUUACUAUUAAUUUAUUUAAUUACAGUUGCUAAUCCAUUUAUUAAUUCCGGGAUAUUACAAGUGUAGAGAAGCUUUUCAAGAAUUAAAGAAGCAACUACCACAAUCUCCUAUCUUAUCAAAACCCUUGGACGGAGAAGGACAAUGAAUAUACCUUCAGUAACUAAAUUUGCAGAAGUGUUGUGUUGAUCAGAAAAGAGCACAAUACCUAACAUCUGGUCUACUAUGUCAGUAAAAGGCUAAUAGAUGCUAAAUUUUGGUACACUAUUAUAACAAAUAUUUUCUAAAAUAACUAUAUUUUAUUAAUGCAUCACUUAAUUUUACAUACAUGCUUUAUUCAUCUUAUGUUUUAUAGUUGCAACGAAUUGUUUAUAAAAAAGAAGGAAAAAUAUUUGCACCAAAGAAGCUAUAAGUUUCAUCUUUGGUGUGUAUAGUGUAUGGUAUCUGUUAUCUUAAAUUUUAUCCAUCUGACAUGGUAUGUCCACGUAAAUCAAGACUGACGACACGUGAAACACAACCUUGUCAAUAGCAGGACAAAGCCUCCUUACAAGGCAUGGCAAAAUCAUCAAGCAACAAGCGAAAGGAGUCCGUCAAAAAGCUGCACAACCAUGUUUGUCGGCCAAGGGGAGUACGUAGGCCGGCCAAGAGGAGCUUGUAUGGCCAGCCAGGGUUUGAGCACAAGCUGGCCAACCAAAGAGUGAUUGUCAGACCCAAACAUGCCUGUUCGACCAAGGAAGCCUGACCUUUACAAGGAAAGUUGUCCAAAGGCUGGUCAACACACGCUAAGGCUGGAUAACACAUGCUAAGACUGACCAACACUUGCCAAAGCUGGCAGGCACUUGAUGUGCAGCCUUGACCCUAGCAGGCACUUGGCCGGUCAGCUUACAUCCUCGCAGGCACUUGGCGUGCAGCUUGCAGCCUGGCAGGCACUUGGUGUGUAGCCUUCGUCUAGGACAACAACUCAAGUUGGGAAUUGGGCUUCAACAACCCACGAAAAUAGGGGAGAAAUAUCAACUAUUAACCUAUUUUGGGGGGAUAAUUAACCUAUUUAUUAUUUAUUAUUUUAUUAUGUAACAAAUACUUUAUAGUUCCUAUUAUUUUAGGGAUAUUAGAUUAUUAUCUUCAUGUAUGCUCUCCUAUAUAAAGAACAUUAGCUAAA
This is a long non-coding RNA of Cannabis sativa, 1854 nucleotides long. RefSeq lists it as uncharacterized. The transcript has 2 exons. Lineage: Eukaryota; Viridiplantae; Streptophyta; Magnoliopsida; Rosales; Cannabaceae. The record is from RefSeq and is a predicted model, not a curated record.